Molecule: transfer RNA, 86 nt
Filed under: bacterium
Lineage: Bacteria
Description: tRNA-Ser
Rfam family: tRNA
About the family: Transfer RNA (tRNA) molecules are approximately 80 nucleotides in length.
Source: RNAcentral
GGAGGAGUCGCAUAGCGGUCUAGUGCGAAGGUUUGCUAAACCUUUGAGUCGAAAGGCUCGCGUGGGUUCGAAUCCCACCUCCUCCG